Molecule: ribosomal RNA, 476 nt
Filed under: uncultured bacterium
Lineage: Bacteria
Description: SSU rRNA
Rfam family: Bacterial small subunit ribosomal RNA
Source: RNAcentral
AGGACGAACGCUGGCGGCGUGCUUAACACAUGCAAGUCGAACGGUAAGGCCUUUCGGGGUACACGAGUGGCGAACGGGUGAGUAACACGUGGGUGAUCUGCCCUGCACUUUGGGAUAAGCCUGGGAAACUGGGUCUAAUACCGAAUAUGACCAUUGGUUGCAUGACUGGUGGUGGAAAGCUUUUGCGGUGUGGGAUGGGCCCGCGGCCUAUCAGCUUGUUGGUGGGGUUAAGGCCUACCAAGGCGACGACGGGUAGCCGGCCUGAGAGGGUGUCCGGCCACACUGGGACUGAGAUACGGCCCAGACUCCUACGGGAGGCAGCAGUGGGGAAUAUUGCACAAUGGGCGCAAGCCUGAUGCAGCGACGCCGCGGUGAGGGACGACGGCCUUCGGGUUGUAACCUCUUUCAGUAGGGACGAAGCGCAAGUGACGGUACCUACAGAACGAAGGACCGGCCAACUACGCGCCAGCAGCCGC